UCUAAUACCGGAUACCACUCCUGCCCGCAUGGGCGGGGGUUGAAAGCUCCGGCGGUGAAGGAUGAGCCCGCGGCCUAUCAGCUUGUUGGUGGGGUAAUGGCCCACCAAGGCGACGACGGG
Molecule: ribosomal RNA, 120 nt
Filed under: Streptomyces lavendulae subsp. lavendulae
Lineage: Bacteria; Bacillati; Actinomycetota; Actinomycetes; Kitasatosporales; Streptomycetaceae
Description: partial 16S rRNA
Rfam family: Bacterial small subunit ribosomal RNA
Source: RNAcentral